AUCAGUAGGGGUUCUGAGAGGAAGGUCCCCCACAUUGGAACUGAGACACGGUCCAAACUCCUACGGGAGGCAGCAGUGAGGAAUAUUGGUCAAUGGACGAGAGUCUGAACCAGCCAAGUAGCGUGCAGGAAGACGGCCCUCUGGGUUGUAAACUGCUUUUAGUUGGGAACAAAAAAGGCGACGUGUCGCCUCUGGAGUGUACCAUCAGAAAAAGGACCGGCUAAUUCCGUGCCAGCAGCCGCGGUAAUACGGAAGGUCCAGGCGUUAUCCGGAUUUAUUGGGUUUAAAGGGAGCGUAGGCGGACGAUUAAGUCAGCUGUGAAAGUUUGCGGCUCAACCGUAAAAUUGCAGUUGAAACUGGUUGUCUUGAGUGCACGCAGGGAUGUUGGAAUUCAUGGUGUAGCGGUGAAAUGCUUAGAUAUCAUGAAGAACUCCGAUCGCGAAGGCAUAUGUCCGGAGUGCAACUGACGCUGAGGCUCGAAAGUGCGGGUAUCGAACAGGAUUAGAUACCCUGGUAGUCCGCACAGUAAACGAUGAAUACUCGCAGUAUGCGAUAUAAUGUAUGCUGCCAAGUGAAAACGUUAAGUAUUCCACCUGGGGAGUACGCCGGCAACGGUGAAACUCAAAGGAAUUGACGGGGGCCCGCACAAGCGGAGGAACAUGUGGUUUAAUUCGAUGNNNNNCGGUGAAACUCAAAGGAAUUGACGGGGGCCCGCACAAGCGGAGGAACAUGUGGUUUAAUUCGAUGAUACGCGAGGAACCUUACCCGGGCUUGAACUAAGCAGGAAGAUGGGCAGAGACGCCCGUUGUCUUCGGACCUGCUUGGAGGUGCUGCAUGGUUGUCGUCAGCUCGUGCCGUGAGGUGUCGGCUUAAGUGCCAUAACGAGCGCAACCCUUCUCCACGUUUGCCAUCAGGUUGUGCUGGGCACUCCGUGGAUACUGCCAUCGUAAGAUGUGAGGAAGGUGGGGAUGACGUCAAAUCAGCACGGCCCUUACGUCCGGGGCUACAUUCGCUAGUAAUCGCGCAUCAGCCAUGGCGCGGUGAAUACGUUCCCGGGCCUUGUACACACCGCCCGUCAAGCCAUGAAAGCCGGGGGUGCCUGAAAGCUGUGACCGUAAGGGGCGGCCUAGGGUAAAACCGGUGAUUGGGGCUAAGUCGUAACAAGGUAGCCGUACCGGAAGGUGCGGCUG
This 1190-nucleotide ribosomal RNA is filed under the name human oral metagenome. Its description in RNAcentral is "bacterial SSU rRNA". It matches the Rfam family "Bacterial small subunit ribosomal RNA", at positions 279 to 1520 of the family's 1533-position model. The record is from RNAcentral.